This 517-nucleotide long non-coding RNA is filed under the name Ananas comosus (pineapple). Its description in RNAcentral is "long non-coding RNA (ACOM_LNC018146)". The record is from RNAcentral. Lineage: Eukaryota; Viridiplantae; Streptophyta; Magnoliopsida; Poales; Bromeliaceae.
UAAUAAUAUCGAUUAUCUAAUUAUUAAGAAUAAUAAUUAUUAAUAAUUAUUAAUAAAUAAUAAUAAUUAUUAUUAAUUAUUAAUAAUUAAUUAUAAAUAAUAAAUUAAUAAUAAUAUUGAUUAUUAUUAAAAAUAAUAAUUAUUAAUAAAUAAUAAUAAAUAAUAUUAAUUUAUUAAUAAUUAAUUAUAAAUAAUAAAUUAAUAAUAAUAAUUAUCUAAUUAUUAACAAUUAAUUACAAGUAAUAAAUUAAUAAUAAUUAUUAUCUAAUUAUUAAUAAUUAAUUAUAAAUUAUAAAUUAAUUAAUUAUUUAAUUAUUAAAGCAAUAAAUAAUGAAUUAAAUAUAUUAAUUAGAUUAAUUAAUAAUUACUGCCAUUAAAAUUAAAUUUAGAUUUUAAUUAACCUUGUUCUCAUCGAGGAACAAGCUAGUUCCAGAAAACGGGUGGAACAGCAGUUCCAGCCUUAUACCAGCUUGUUUUAGAAACCCGAGAACUACUGUUCCCGGGAACCAAACAUAAC